UACAGAGGUGGCAAGCGUUGUUCGGAAUUACUGGGCGUAAAGGGCGCGUAGGCGGUCAGCACAAGUCAGUUGUGAAAUCUCCGGGCUUAACUCGGAAAGGUCAACUGAUUCUGUGCGACUAGAGUGCAGAAGGGGCAACUGGAAUUCUCGGUGUAGCGGUGAAAUGCGUAGAUAUCGAGAGGAACACCUGCGGCGAAGGCGGGUUGCUGGGCUGACACUGACGCUGAGGCGCGAAAGCCAGGGGAGCGAACGGG
RNAcentral lists this ribosomal RNA (254 nucleotides) under uncultured bacterium. Its description in RNAcentral is "partial 16S ribosomal RNA". It matches the Rfam family "Bacterial small subunit ribosomal RNA", at positions 524 to 776 of the family's 1533-position model. The record is from RNAcentral.